CAUAGCUUAUUGACAAUAGUAAGUAUUUUCUGCCCGGUGAUUUUAACGGCCGCAGUACUUUGACUGUGCUAAGGUAGCAUAAUAAUUUGUCCUUUAAUUAAGGUCUAGAAUAAAAGGAGAAUAAAAGAAUUGUCUUUUUUAGUUUUUAAAUUUUUUUAUAAGGUGAAAAUACCUUUAUAUAUUAUUAGACGAGAAGACCCUUAGAAUUUUCAAAAUUUUUGUUGGGGCGACAAAGAAACACAAAACUUUCUUAUAAUAUAUAUAAGCCGAGACUAUUAAAAUUACCUGAGGGAUAACAGCAUAAUUUUAGAUUAUGACCUCGAUGUUGGAUUAGGAAAUAAUUAUUAACAAUUAUUAAAGUUCUGUUCGAACCCUACGUGAU
This 382-nucleotide ribosomal RNA is filed under the name Diemenoropa kingstonensis. RNAcentral's name for it is "partial large subunit ribosomal RNA". The record is from RNAcentral. Lineage: Eukaryota; Metazoa; Mollusca; Gastropoda; Stylommatophora; Charopidae.